RNAcentral lists this ribosomal RNA (301 nucleotides) under uncultured bacterium. Its description in RNAcentral is "partial 16S ribosomal RNA". It matches the Rfam family "Bacterial small subunit ribosomal RNA", at positions 509 to 807 of the family's 1533-position model. The record is from RNAcentral.
CAGUAGCCGCGGUAAUACGGAGGGGGCUAGCGUUGUUCGGAAUUACUGGGCGUAAAGCGCACGUAGGCGGCUUUGUAAGUUAGAGGUGAAAGCCCGGGGCUCAACCCCGGAAUUGCCUUUAAGACUGCAGGGCUAGCAGGUGAGAGAGGUGAGUGGAAUUCCGAGUGUAGAGGUGAAAUUCGUAGAUAUUCGGAAGAACACCAGUGGCGAAGGCGGCUCACUGGCUCAUACUGGACGCUGAGGUGCGAAAGCGUGGGGAGCAAACAGGAUUAGAUACCCGCGUAGUCCCUGUCUCUUAUAC